Ribosomal RNA from Oryzias javanicus (javanese ricefish), 119 nucleotides. The record is from Ensembl. NCBI's taxonomy places the organism in Eukaryota, Metazoa, Chordata, Actinopteri, Beloniformes, Adrianichthyidae.
GCUUACGGCCACACCACCCUGAACACGCCCGAUCUCGUCCGAUCUCGGAAGCUAAGCAGGGCUGGGCCUGGUUAGUACUUGGAUGGGAGACCGCCUGGGAAUACCAGGUGCUGUAUUUU